GUUGAAGCUUUAAGGAGGCAUUGUGGGUUCUCCUACGAGUUGCUGUCUGAGCAGUUGGUUCUCCUGGAGAAGCUCUGGUCCUCACAUCUAGCACUGCUUCCUGGCUUCAGAGGGAAGGAGAGGUGUUAAAAUGUUUCCUUUGCUUAAAAUUAAUCAGGCCUGGAAAAACUGAUACUAAAGGAGGAAAUGGAAGAAAAAGAAACCUGUGGAGCUCCCCUGCACUUCACCUCCUGAGCACUAGAAGAUACUGUAUCUAACACAUACAAAGAUGUUAUUAUUGAAGCUGGCAAUUGUUCUCUCCGGACUUACCUUGGCCCAUCCUGGCCACCAUCGGUAAUAUUUUCCUGCAUGGACUGCCCAGUUGUGCCCUAUUUAAAAGGACUAACUUAAAGGUAUUCCAGAGGCAAAUGAACUUGUCUGUUAACCUUUUGCCAAACCAGUACCUGCAUGGGGCCCUAGAGGAGAAGGCCAAGAGCUAUAAUUCCUUCCUGCUAGAUAACUGGAGUAUGAUGGUUAAUCUUGCUUGUCAGCUUGACUGGAUUCGGAAACUUCUGGAUUGUGAGGAUACUGAUCUUAUCAACAAGUUCAAAGCUGAAUGGGACAUUAGCAGGUAGGGCUCACCUGGAGGAAAUUGGUCAUGGGAGUUUGACCUCUGACCCCUUCCUCUCUGAAGCUCCUCCUCUCUGGCUUUCUGGCCAUCAUGAUAGGAACAGUUUUCUUCCACCAUGCCCUUUCACCAUAGAGUUACUGCCUUGCAACCAGCCAACCAUUAAGUGAAACCUCAGAAACUCAGCUAAAACAAAUUUCUCCUCUUCUAAAUUGUGGGUGUCAGGUCCUAGCAGUGGACAGCUGAUUAUAGAAGGAAGGACAAUCCUCUUUCUACAAACAAGUUGCAGCGAUUAAGUUCUUCAAUAAUUGGUCUCUUUUCUCCAUCCAUAUCUAAUGUAUAUACUUUUCCCAGAAAGAAAAAAGGAUUUGCUCUCUGAAAAUAUAGGAAAGAAUAUGUGACACAUCAGAGACCAGUAUAUGGUCAACAAGCACCAAGUAUCCACUAGGAAAGGCAAAGUGAGUGAAUGCAGGCAUUAAAUGUGAUGACCGGGCUAUAACAGAGUCACACGAAGUCUUGGUGGUGAUUGGCCCUGCUGCAAGUUCUGUUGAACCUUGAUUCUCAGCUUCAACUCACAACCAGAAUCUGAUUCUGGUGUUUCUUCCCCACCCCUGCAGUUAAAGGAGACAAGUUGCUUGCUACCAGUCCCUAAGUGCCUCCAGCUCUCUGGGUUCCUUUCAUCAUGAUUUAUGUAAGCAGUUUCUUCAUCAAAACAUCUUUAAAAAUCCUAUCUGAGGGUAUGGUUGGAUUCUGGUCAAGUUUCUGAUACAUCUUUGUAAAAUUACAAAACUCUGGUGACAAAGAGAAAUAUUGUAAACUUUUCAGUAUAAGUAGAGACCUGGGAGAAAUUUUGGUAGAGAAUGAUUGUGGAUUUUUCAACAGUAACAGAGGAAGCUAGAAACCUAGAGAAAAAUUUUGUACAAAUACUGAAUAAAAAAUGUCUUCAUCCUAGAAUUUGAUUUCCAGUCAGCAUAACAGUUAAAUACAAGGUAAACUGAAGACAUUUUCAGACAUUCAGGAUGUCAGAGAAUUUAAAAUUUAUCCUCGUUUUUUAGGAAGCUACUGAAAGAGCUGCUCAGUCACAACAAGAGAGCAAACAAAUGAAAAAACAAAGAGACGGGAAACAGGACCAAAGGGAUUUCAGGCCAGCAGCCACGCAGUGGGCACAGGGAGGAACUGAAUCAAUGAGAUAGAUAGGCAAGCUCUAGGAGACGACUCAAAAGGAGAAAUUAAUAGAUUGAAAAAAUACUGAAAGGAGACUGAAAUGGAGACACAAGAUGCAUUAGUAAUACAUAUAUAGAAAAAAGUAAAUAAAAGUGCAAUUAUUAAUACCAUGGAAAGUAAAAGGUGUAUAAAAAUAAAAUUAUAUUAAGCUUCCUAACUUAGCUAGGGUUAAAUGUGAGCACAUUGAUUUAAACUAAAUUACUAUACUAAAUUAUAUUUUCAUAGUUAUUAAAUAAAUUAUUUAUCAUAGAAGGUGAUGGAAAUUAGUGCAUGUGUAUAUAUAUGUGUGUGCAUGAGUAUGUAUAUGUGUGUGAAUGAGUGUGAUGUGUGUGACUCAUGAACAUGUGUGUAGAUAUAUGUGGCCAUAUGGGAAGUGAGUGGAUGGGUAUGAAUAUGUCUCUGAAUGUGUGAGUGUGUGUGUGUGUGUGUGUGUGUGUGUGUGUGUGUAGUGCUGAUGGACACAGAAGAGGUGGAGAAACAAUCUAGGCAGAAGAGCCAGUCAACCAAUAAAUAAUGCCUGAAACUUGACAAAUCAGGAAAUAUGACUGCAAAUAUGCUGUUGAGACACAUGGAAAUAAACGCAUAAAGAAUCAGCUGAAAAGAAAAAAAAGUAAUUAAUACCAGGAACAGGAAAUAAGAAGAAACUAUAGUAUAAAGGAUUGGCAUUUUAACAAUCCUUUCGUGAUUUAUUUUCCUUUUUUGUAACAAUCUUAUAAGCUUUUAAAUUAUACACAUAAUUUUAAAAAAUGUAAAGA
Cavia porcellus (domestic guinea pig) is the source of this 2586-nucleotide long non-coding RNA. RefSeq lists it as uncharacterized. The transcript has 3 exons. The record is from RefSeq and is a predicted model, not a curated record. NCBI's taxonomy places the organism in Eukaryota, Metazoa, Chordata, Mammalia, Rodentia, Caviidae.